AUGGUGAAGGAGGCGCCCGCCACUCCGGGCGCCAAGGGCAAGGGCAAGGGCGCCGCGUCGACCUCCGCCUCCGCGCCGACGCCGCCGUCCAAGGUCACCCCCGGAUCGGUCAGGCGCAAGAGGGCGUGUAAGAAGAAGAAGGCCGAUCCGGAGAAGCUGAAGGCGGCCGCCGCCGCUGCAGUCGCGGCCUCCGCCGACGCGCCUGCUUCGGGGCCCACGCCGGUGGUUCCCGCCCCGGCCGACGUCGGCACUUCGGCCGCCCUUGUGGUCGCCGAGAACGGCGGCGCUGACGGGAAGAUGGUCGCCAAGACCAACGGCGAUGGGGAUAAGUCCGUCGCCAAGGACAACGGUGGUGGCAGUAAGUCCGUCGCCGAGAACAAGGGUGAUGGCAGUAAGUCCGUCCCUGAGAACAAGGGUGAUGGCAGUAAGUCCAUCGCCGAGAACAAGGGUGAUGGCAGCAAGUCCGUCGCCGGGAACAAGGGUGAUGGCAGCAAGUCCGUCGCCGGGAACAAGGGUGAUGGCAGCAAGUCCGUCGCNNNNNNNNNNNNNNNNNNNNNNNNNNNNNNCGCCGAGAACAAGGGUGAUGGCAGCAAGUCCGUCGCCGAGAACAAGGGUGAUGGCAUUAAGAUGGGCACUGGGAACAGCAGUGCUGACAGGAAGAUGGGCACUGGGAACAGCAGUGCUGACAGGAAGAGGGGUAGGAAGGAUAAGAUGAGGGGGAGGGAGAAGGGGGAAGGACAGGGGAGGGUGAACCCGAAGGUUGAGGAGAAGGAGAAGAAGGACGGCGCAGCGGGGGAGGAGAGGGGCAGUGCUGGGUUUAUCUUCAUGUGCAACGGAAAGACGAAGCCGGAGUGCUUCCAGAACAGCGUGUUUGGCUUGCCCAAGGGGAAGAUAGAUGUGGUGGAGAAGAUCCGACCAGGGGCGAAGCUGUUCCUGUAUGACUUUGACCUGAAGCUUCUCUAUGGGGUGUACAAGGCAACAGCAAGAGGAGGGAUGGAUCUUGUGCGGCGUGCGUUCAACGGGAAAUUCCCUGCUCAGGUCAAAUUCAGGAUUGAUAAAGAUUGUCUUCCGCUUCCUGAGAGUAGUUUCAAGCAUGCCAUUAAGGAGAACUACAAUUCAAAGGGAAAAUUCACCCAAGAGCUCAAUUCGAGACAAGUCCGUAAGCUACUGGCACUAUACAAGCCAAUUAACAUACAACAGCCAUCUUCCCAACAUGUUCAAGAAGUUCCUCGGACAAACCGUGUUGAAAGGCGCAUGCCUCACUAUGUUGAAGAAAGGCGACAGCCAUAUGAUUAUGAAGAAAGGAGGCUGCCACGAUAUCGUGAAGAAAUGCAACACCCACAAUUUGCUGAAGAAAGGAGAUUAGCCUAUGAUUAUGAAGAAAGAAGGCCAUCACUCCAUGUUGAAGAAAUUCGACGCCCACAGUUUGUUGAAGAAGCUCAGCCACCUACAUACUAUGUUGCUCCUGCUCCUCAUGGUUCAUACCAUCCACAUCAAGCUAAUAUCAUUUAUGAAAGGGCUCCAGCUGACGCCGCCAACAGGGUGGAUCCAUUCCUUCCAAGAGACUACAGGGUGCCGCCACAGGAGGUCGCCGCACCCCCAAGCUACGCUGAUGAGAUCUACCGUGGUGCUUACCCAGCUGCUUACCCGGCAAACCUCCAGGGGCCUGCUGCUUCAAGGGUGCCAGUGUCCUCCCUCUACUCCUUCGCCGGCGCACCGGCGUACAGAUGA
Molecule: ribosomal RNA, 1731 nt
Filed under: Triticum aestivum (bread wheat)
Lineage: Eukaryota; Viridiplantae; Streptophyta; Magnoliopsida; Poales; Poaceae
Description: partial small subunit ribosomal RNA
Source: RNAcentral